RNAcentral lists this ribosomal RNA (253 nucleotides) under uncultured bacterium. RNAcentral describes it as "partial 16S ribosomal RNA". It matches the Rfam family "Bacterial small subunit ribosomal RNA", at positions 524 to 776 of the family's 1533-position model. The record is from RNAcentral.
UACGUAGGUGGCAAGCGUUGUCCGGAUUUAUUGGGUUUAAAGGGUGCGUAGGCGGCUUUGUAAGUCAGUGGUGAAAUAUGGCAGCUCAACUGUCAGGGUGCCAUUGAUACUGCAGAGCUUGAGUACAGAUGAGGUAGGCGGAAUUGACGGUGUAGCGGUGAAAUGCUUAGAUAUGACACAGAACACCGAUUGCGAAGGCAGCUAGCUAAACUGUAACUGACGCUGAGGCACGAAAGCGUGGGUAGCAAACAGG